This 468-nucleotide ribosomal RNA is filed under the name uncultured bacterium. RNAcentral describes it as "partial 16S ribosomal RNA". It matches the Rfam family "Bacterial small subunit ribosomal RNA", at positions 28 to 507 of the family's 1533-position model. The record is from RNAcentral.
GACGAACGCUGGCGGCGUGCUUAACACAUGCAAGUCGAACGGAAAGGCCCUGCUUUUGUGGGGUGCUCGAGUGGCGAACGGGUGAGUAACACGUGAGUAACCUGCCCUUGACUUUGGGAUAACUUCAGGAAACUGGGGCUAAUACCGGAUAGGAGCUCCUGCUGCAUGGUGGGGGUUGGAAAGUUUCGGCGGUUGGGGAUGGACUCGCGGCUUAUCAGCUUGUUGGUGGGGUAGUGGCUUACCAAGGCUUUGACGGGUAGCCGGCCUGAGAGGGUGACCGGCCAUAUUGGGACUGAGAUACGGCCCAGACUCCUACGGGAGGCAGCAGUGGGGAAUAUUGCACAAUGGGCGGGAGCCUGAUGCAGCAACGCCGCGUGCGGGAUGACGGCCUUCGGGUUGUAAACCGCUUUCGCCUGUGACGAAGCGUGAGUGACGGUAAUGGGUAAAGAAGCACCGGCUAACUACGUG